Molecule: long non-coding RNA, 209 nt
Filed under: Nicotiana benthamiana
Lineage: Eukaryota; Viridiplantae; Streptophyta; Magnoliopsida; Solanales; Solanaceae
Description: long non-coding RNA (NBEN_LNC041382)
Source: RNAcentral
GGUUCAAUGAUCAUAAUAUAGAAGGGAUAAAAACCUAAGUUUUGAAGAAUGGGUUGUGUACAAAUAUAGUUAAAAGUUUUGUUUACUAUUGGCAUUUAAAGUACGGUUAAAGGCUUUAUGCAUUAUUGACAUUAAAAUAGAUAUUAUUUCCCAAAAAUCAACGAAGAUAUUUAGUUACUACUUACUAAGAGGAUACAACUUUUCUGAAA